RNAcentral lists this transfer RNA (65 nucleotides) under Cinygmina sp. 07BF85. RNAcentral's name for it is "tRNA-Asn". Lineage: Eukaryota; Metazoa; Arthropoda; Insecta; Ephemeroptera; Heptageniidae. The record is from RNAcentral.
UUAAGUAAAGCCAAAGAGAGGCUUAUCACUGUUAAUGAUAGAAUUGGGUCAACCCCCUUCUUGAA